GAAAAACUUUAUGAUUUAUAAAAUGAUAAAACCAUUUAUUACAUAAAAAGAGUGAAAUAUGACUAAAAUUGCAAAGUUUGUUUGUGUCACGUUUAUCAUAUUUUAUCUAUUUUUAUAUGCUAUGAACGUCGAAGCGUUCUAUCCUAGUAUGACAUGUUAUAAUGAUUCGGAUUGUCCUCUGUUUUGUCGAAGACCUUGGAUAGCAGUGUGUUUGAAAAGAUGGUGCAGAUGUGUACCUCCAGAAUAGUUUAUACCUUCUUAAUUUUGUAUAUAGGAUCAUUGUUGUUUUCUAUUUGAAUAAAAAGGAAAAAGAGAGGAAGUAUUGUUGCUGAAGAUA
Vicia villosa (hairy vetch) is the source of this 337-nucleotide long non-coding RNA. RefSeq lists it as uncharacterized. The transcript is spliced from 2 exons. The record is from RefSeq and is a predicted model, not a curated record. NCBI's taxonomy places the organism in Eukaryota, Viridiplantae, Streptophyta, Magnoliopsida, Fabales, Fabaceae.